UACGUAGGGUGCAAGCGUUAAUCGGAAUUACUGGGCGUAAAGCGUGCGCAGGCGGUUAUGCAAGACAGAUGUGAAAUCCCCGGGCUUAACCUGGGAACCGCAUUUGUGACUGCAUAGCUGGAGUACGGCAGAGGGGGAUGGAAUUCCGCGUGUAGCAGUGAAAUGCGUAGAUAUGCGGAGGAACACCGAUGGCGAAGGCAAUCCCCUGGGCCUGCACUGACGCUCAUGCACGAAAGCGUGGGGAGCAAACAGG
RNAcentral lists this ribosomal RNA (253 nucleotides) under uncultured bacterium. RNAcentral's name for it is "partial 16S ribosomal RNA". It matches the Rfam family "Bacterial small subunit ribosomal RNA", at positions 524 to 776 of the family's 1533-position model. The record is from RNAcentral.